Molecule: long non-coding RNA, 286 nt
Organism: Pollicipes pollicipes
Lineage: Eukaryota; Metazoa; Arthropoda; Thecostraca; Pollicipedomorpha; Pollicipedidae
Exons: 3
Source: RefSeq, a predicted model, not a curated record
GCUGCACCUGCCCGUGCGCGUCUCACCGCCGCUGCUCACCCUGAGACCGGACCGGAGCGCGACCGUUACCUGCUCGCUGCUCAUGAAACGGAUGAGAGGCGCCACCUUCACGUGGAGCAAGGCGGUGGGCCGCGAUCCACCCAGACCGCUGACCGGGCGGGACCCGGCCGAACAGGUGGUCACCUACUGCUGGGGGCAUUCCACCCUGAUCAUCCGACAUCCGCAGACGGCGCAGUACGAGUGCAAUGUGGUGCUGGGGACGCUGACCAGCGAUGCCAGUGUCCAG